GCCUGAAUGGUGUAAUGGUUUGAGUUUUGAACUUCAACUCUAGAGAUCAGGGUUCAAUUCACUGCUUGGUUG
Molecule: non-coding RNA, 72 nt
Organism: Phrynosoma platyrhinos (Desert horned lizard)
Lineage: Eukaryota; Metazoa; Chordata; Lepidosauria; Squamata; Phrynosomatidae
Source: the annotation of a GenBank genome assembly